UUCUUCGGAGAGUUUGAUCCUGGCUCAGGAUGAACGCUGGCGGCGUGCCUAAUACAUGCAAGUCGAGCGAACUGAUUAGAAGCUUGCUUCUAUGACGUUAGCGGCGGACGGGUGAGUAACACGUGGGCAACCUGCCUGUAAGACUGGGAUAACUUCGGGAAACCGAAGCUAAUACCGGAUAGG
RNAcentral lists this ribosomal RNA (183 nucleotides) under Priestia megaterium. RNAcentral describes it as "Bacillus megaterium partial 16S ribosomal RNA". It matches the Rfam family "Bacterial small subunit ribosomal RNA", at positions 1 to 177 of the family's 1533-position model. The record is from RNAcentral. Lineage: Bacteria; Bacillati; Bacillota; Bacilli; Caryophanales; Bacillaceae.